GACGAACCGUGCGAACGUUGUUCGGAUUCACUGGGCUUAAAGGGCGCGUAGGCGGGCCCGCCAGUCCGGGGUGAAAUCCUCCGGCUCAACCGGAGAAUGGCCUUGGAUACUGCGGGCCUCGAGGGAGGUAGGGGUCGACGGAACUUCGGGUGGAGCGGUGAAAUGCGUAGAUAUCCGAAGGAACGCCGGUGGCGAAAGCGGUCGACUGGACCUCUGCUGACGCUGAGGCGCGAAAGCCAGGGGAGCGAACGGGAUUAGAAACCCCCGUAGUCC
RNAcentral lists this ribosomal RNA (273 nucleotides) under uncultured bacterium. RNAcentral describes it as "partial 16S ribosomal RNA". It matches the Rfam family "Bacterial small subunit ribosomal RNA", at positions 524 to 796 of the family's 1533-position model. The record is from RNAcentral.